GCCUGUAGCUCAGUGGCAGAGCGCCCGGCUCAUAACCGGUCAGUCGUAGGUUCGAACCCUACCGGGCC
RNAcentral lists this transfer RNA (68 nucleotides) under marine eukaryotic metagenome. It matches the Rfam family "tRNA". Rfam says of the family: Transfer RNA (tRNA) molecules are approximately 80 nucleotides in length. Their secondary structure includes four short double-helical elements and three loops (D, anti-codon, and T loops). Further hydrogen bonds mediate the characteristic L-shaped molecular structure. tRNAs have two regions of fundamental functional importance: the anti-codon, which is responsible for specific mRNA codon recognition, and the 3' end, to which the tRNAs corresponding amino acid is attached (by aminoacyl-tRNA synthetases). tRNAs cope with the degeneracy of the genetic code in two manners: having more than one tRNA (with a specific anti-codon) for a particular amino acid; and 'wobble' base-pairing, i.e. permitting non-standard base-pairing at the 3rd anti-codon position. The record is from RNAcentral.